RNAcentral lists this ribosomal RNA (497 nucleotides) under uncultured bacterium. RNAcentral's name for it is "partial 16S ribosomal RNA". It matches the Rfam family "Bacterial small subunit ribosomal RNA", at positions 28 to 507 of the family's 1533-position model. The record is from RNAcentral.
GAUGAACGCUGGCGGCGUGCCUAAUACAUGCAAGUCGAGCGAACAGACGAGGAGCUUGCUCCUCUGACGUUAGCGGCGGACGGGUGAGUAACACGUGGAUAACCUACCUAUAAGACUGGGAUAACUUCGGGAAACCGGAGCUAAUACCGGAUAAUAUAUUGAACCGCAUGGUUCAAUAGUGAAAGACGGUUUUGCUGUCACUUAUAGAUGGAUCCGCGCCGCAUUAGCUAGUUGGUAAGGCAACGGCUUACCAAGGCAACGAUGCGUAGCCGACCUGAGAGGGUGAUCGGCCACACUGGAACUGAGACACGGUCCAGACUCCUACGGGAGGCAGCAGUAGGGAAUCUUCCGCAAUGGGCGAAAGCCUGACGGAGCAACGCCGCGUGAAUGAUGAAGGUCUUCGGAUCGUAAAACUCUGUUAUUAGGGAAGAACAAAUGUGUAAGUAACUAUGCACGUCUUGACGGUACCUAAUCAGAAAGCCACGGCUAACUACGUG